Molecule: ribosomal RNA, 2915 nt
Filed under: Vibrio parahaemolyticus
Lineage: Bacteria; Pseudomonadati; Pseudomonadota; Gammaproteobacteria; Vibrionales; Vibrionaceae
Description: bacterial LSU rRNA
Rfam family: Bacterial large subunit ribosomal RNA
Source: RNAcentral
GUUGUAUGGUUAAGUGACUAAGCGUACACGGUGGAUGCCUUGGCAGUCAGAGGCGAUGAAAGACGUAGUAACUUGCGAUAAGCCCAGAUUAGGUAGUAACAACCAUUUGAGUCUGGGAUUUCUGAAUGGGGAAACCCACGUGCAUAAGCACGUAUCCUUACCUGAAUACAUAGGGUAAGGAGGCGAACCGGGGGAACUGAAACAUCUAAGUACCCCGAGGAAAAGAAAUCAACCGAGAUUCCGAAAGUAGCGGCGAGCGAAAUUGGACUAGCCCUUAAGCUUUACACGCGUUAGACGAACGGUCUGGAAAGUCCGGCGAUACAGGGUGAUAGUCCCGUAGUUGACGACGUGUGUUCAGUGAAAUCGAGUAGGGCGGGACACGUGAUAUCCUGUCUGAAUAUGGGGGGACCAUCCUCCAAGGCUAAAUACUACUGACUGACCGAUAGUGAACCAGUACCGUGAGGGAAAGGCGAAAAGAACCCCUGUGAGGGGAGUGAAAUAGAACCUGAAACCGUGUACGUACAAGCAGUAGGAGCAGGCUUGUCCUGUGACUGCGUACCUUUUGUAUAAUGGGUCAGCGACUUAUAUUCAGUGGCAAGGUUAACCAUCUAGGGGAGCCGUAGGGAAACCGAGUCUUAACUGGGCGUUCAGUCUCUGGAUAUAGACCCGAAACCAGGUGAUCUAGCCAUGGGCAGGUUGAAGGUUGAGUAACAUCAACUGGAGGACCGAACCGACUAAUGUUGAAAAAUUAGCGGAUGACUUGUGGCUAGGGGUGAAAGGCCAAUCAAACCUGGAGAUAGCUGGUUCUCCCCGAAAGCUAUUUAGGUAGCGCCUCGGACGAAUACUACUGGGGGUAGAGCACUGUUAAGGCUAGGGGGUCAUCCCGACUUACCAACCCUUUGCAAACUCCGAAUACCAGUAAGUACUAUCCGGGAGACACACGGCGGGUGCUAACGUCCGUCGUGGAGAGGGAAACAACCCAGACCGCCAGCUAAGGUCCCAAAUUACUACUAAGUGGGAAACGAUGUGGGAAGGCUCAGACAGCCAGGAUGUUGGCUUAGAAGCAGCCAUCAUUUAAAGAAAGCGUAAUAGCUCACUGGUCGAGUCGGCCUGCGCGGAAGAUGUAACGGGGCUAAGUAGUAAACCGAAGCUGCGGCAAUAUACUUUUGUAUAUUGGGUAGGGGAGCGUUCUGUAAGCGGUUGAAGGUGUGUGGUAACGCAUGCUGGACGUAUCAGAAGUGCGAAUGCUGACAUGAGUAACGAUAAAGGGGGUGAAAAACCUCCUCGCCGGAAGACCAAGGGUUCCUGUCCAACGUUAAUCGGGGCAGGGUAAGUCGACCCCUAAGGCGAGGCCGAAAGGCGUAGUCGAUGGGAAACGGGUUAAUAUUCCCGUACUUCUUACAAUUGCGAUGGGGGGACGGAGAAGGCUAGGUGGGCCUGGCGACGGUUGUCCAGGUUCAAGUGCGUAGGCUGAGAGAUUAGGUAAAUCCGGUUUCUCUUAAGGCUGAGACACGACGUCGAGCACCUACGGGUGUGAAGUCAUUGAUGCCAUGCUUCCAGGAAAAGCCUCUAAGCUUCAGAUUGUAAGGAAUCGUACCCCAAACCGACACAGGUGGUCGGGUAGAGAAUACCAAGGCGCUUGAGAGAACUCGGGUGAAGGAACUAGGCAAAAUGGUACCGUAACUUCGGGAGAAGGUACGCUCUCGACGGUGAAGUCCCUCGCGGAUGGAGCUAUUGAGAGUCGCAGAUACCAGGUGGCUGCAACUGUUUAUUAAAAACACAGCACUGUGCAAAAUCGUAAGAUGACGUAUACGGUGUGACGCCUGCCCGGUGCCGGAAGGUUAAUUGAUGGGGUUAGACUUCGGUCGAAGCUCUUGAUCGAAGCCCCGGUAAACGGCGGCCGUAACUAUAACGGUCCUAAGGUAGCGAAAUUCCUUGUCGGGUAAGUUCCGACCUGCACGAAUGGCGUAAUGAUGGCCACGCUGUCUCCACCCGAGACUCAGUGAAAUUGAAAUCGCUGUGAAGAUGCAGUGUACCCGCGGCUAGACGGAAAGACCCCGUGAACCUUUACUACAGCUUGGCACUGAACAUUGACCCUACAUGUGUAGGAUAGGUGGGAGGCUUUGAAGCAUGUACGCCAGUAUGUGUGGAGCCGUCCUUGAAAUACCACCCUUGUAGUGUUGAUGUUCUAACGUCGACCCCUUAUCGGGGUUGCGGACAGUGCCUGGUGGGUAGUUUGACUGGGGCGGUCUCCUCCCAAAGAGUAACGGAGGAGCACGAAGGUGGGCUAAUCACGGUUGGACAUCGUGAGGUUAGUGCAAUGGCAUAAGCCCGCUUGACUGCGAGAAUGACAAUUCGAGCAGGUGCGAAAGCAGGUCAUAGUGAUCCGGUGGUUCUGAAUGGAAGGGCCAUCGCUCAACGGAUAAAAGGUACUCCGGGGAUAACAGGCUGAUACCGCCCAAGAGUUCAUAUCGACGGCGGUGUUUGGCACCUCGAUGUCGGCUCAUCACAUCCUGGGGCUGAAGUCGGUCCCAAGGGUAUGGCUGUUCGCCAUUUAAAGUGGUACGCGAGCUGGGUUUAGAACGUCGUGAGACAGUUCGGUCCCUAUCUGCCGUGGGCGUUGGAAGAUUGAAGGGGGCUGCUCCUAGUACGAGAGGACCGGAGUGGACGAACCUCUGGUGUUCGGGUUGUGUCGCCAGACGCAUUGCCCGGUAGCUAAGUUCGGAAUCGAUAACCGCUGAAAGCAUCUAAGCGGGAAGCGAGCCCUGAGAUGAGUCUUCCCUGAUACUUUAAGUAUCCUAAAGGGUUGUCGGAGACUACGACGUUGAUAGGUCAGGUGUGUAAGUGCUGUGAGGCAUUGAGCUAACUGAUACUAAUUGCCCGUGAGGCUUAACCAUACAACACCCAAGGGGUUU